UACGUAGGGGGCAAGCGUUGUCCGGAAUCAUUGGGCGUAAAGCGCGUGUAGGCGGCCAGGUAGGUCUGCUGUGAAAACUCGAGGCUCAACUUCGAGAUGUCGGCGGAAACCAUCUGGCUAGAGUCCGGAAGAGGAGAGUAGAAUUCCUGGUGUAGCGGUGAAAUGCGCAGAUAUCAGGAGGAAUACCCGUGGCGAAAGCGGCUCUCUGGGACGGUACUGACGCUGAGACGCGAAAGCGUGGGGAGCAAACAGG
This 253-nucleotide ribosomal RNA is filed under the name uncultured bacterium. Its description in RNAcentral is "partial 16S ribosomal RNA". It matches the Rfam family "Bacterial small subunit ribosomal RNA", at positions 524 to 776 of the family's 1533-position model. The record is from RNAcentral.